GAUGAACGCUGGCGGCGUGCCUAAUACAUGCAAGUCGAGCGAACAGAUGAGGAGCUUGCUCCUCUGACGUUAGCGGCGGACGGGUGAGUAACACGUGGAUAACCUACCUAUAAGACUGGGAUAACUUCGGGAAACCGGAGCUAAUACCAGAUAAUAUAUUUAACCGCAUGGUUCAAUAGUGAAAGACGGUUUUGCUGUCACUUAUAGAUGGAUCCGCGCCGCAUUAGCUAGUUGGUAAGGUAACGGCUUACCAAGGCAACGAUGCGUAGCCGACCUGAGAGGGUGAUCGGCCACACUGGAACUGAGACACGGUCCAGACUCCUACGGGAGGCAGCAGUAGGGAAUCUUCCGCAAUGGGCGAAAGCCUGACGGAGCAACGCCGCGUGAGUGAUGAAGGUCUUCGGAUCGUAAAACUCUGUUAUUAGGGAAGAACAAAUGUGUAAGUAACUAUGCACGUCUUGACGGUACCUAAUCAGAAAGCCACGGCUAACUACGUG
Molecule: ribosomal RNA, 497 nt
Filed under: uncultured bacterium
Lineage: Bacteria
Description: partial 16S ribosomal RNA
Rfam family: Bacterial small subunit ribosomal RNA
Source: RNAcentral